This 402-nucleotide ribosomal RNA is filed under the name bacterium. RNAcentral describes it as "partial 16S ribosomal RNA". It matches the Rfam family "Bacterial small subunit ribosomal RNA", at positions 355 to 776 of the family's 1533-position model. The record is from RNAcentral.
UGGGGAAUUUUGCACAAUGGGGGAAACCCUGAUGCAGCGACGCCGCGUGAUUUAGAAGGCCUUCGGGUUGUAAAAAUCUUUUUUACGGGAUGAAAAUGACAGUACCGUAAGAAUAAGGUCCGGCUAAAUACGUGCCAGCAGCCGCGGUAAUACGUAUGGAACGAGCGUUGUCCGGAAUCAUUGGGCGUAAAGGGUACGUAGGAGGCCUAGUAAGUUAGAAGUGAAAUAAUAUAGAUCAACUAUAUAAAGCUUUUAAAACUGCUAGGCUUGAGAGAUGGAAGGGAAAGUGGAAUUCCUAGUGUAGCGGUGAAAUGCGCAGAUAUUAGGAAGAAUACCGGUGGCGAAGGCGACUUUCUGGUCAUCAUCUGACGCUGAGGUACGAAAGCGUGGGUAGCAAACAGG